This 232-nucleotide ribosomal RNA is filed under the name Cladosporium sp. GR-12. Its description in RNAcentral is "partial 28S ribosomal RNA". Lineage: Eukaryota; Fungi; Ascomycota; Dothideomycetes; Cladosporiales; Cladosporiaceae. The record is from RNAcentral.
AGCACUUUGGAAAGAGAGUUAAAAAGCACGUGAAAUUGUUGAAAGGGAAGGGAUUGCAACCAGACUUGCUCGCGGUGUUCCGCCGGUCUUCUGACCGGUUCACUCGCCGCGUUGCAGGCCAGCAUCGUCUGGUGCCGCUGGAUAAGACUGGAGGAAUGUAGCUCCCUCGGGAGUGUUAUAGCCUCUAGUGAUGCAGCGAGCGCCGGGCGAGGUCCGCGCUUCGGCUAGGAUG